RNAcentral lists this ribosomal RNA (177 nucleotides) under uncultured bacterium. RNAcentral describes it as "partial 16S ribosomal RNA". It matches the Rfam family "Bacterial small subunit ribosomal RNA", at positions 1323 to 1500 of the family's 1533-position model. The record is from RNAcentral.
AAGUCGGAAUCGCUAGUAAUCGCGGAUCAGCAUGCCGCGGUGAAUACGUUCCCGGGCCUUGUACACACCGCCCGUCACACCAUGGGAGCCGGUAAUACCCGAAGUCAGUAGUCCAACCUCGUGAGGACGCUGCCGAAGGUAGGAUUGGCGACUGGGGUGAAGUCGUAACAAGGUAGC